This 332-nucleotide ribosomal RNA is filed under the name uncultured eukaryote. RNAcentral describes it as "partial 18S ribosomal RNA". It matches the Rfam family "Eukaryotic small subunit ribosomal RNA", at positions 1470 to 1796 of the family's 1831-position model. The record is from RNAcentral.
CCCUUAGAUGUUCUGGGCUGCACACGUGCUACACUUGCAGGUUCAGCGAGCUUCAUGCCCUGAUCUGAAAGGAAUGGGAAAUCUUUUCAAAACCUGCCGUGCUUGGGAUAGAUGUUUGCAAUUAUUCAUCUUCAACGAGGAUUGCCUUGUAAGCGCACGUCAUCAGCGUGCAUUGAAUACGACCCUGUAUUCUGUACACACCGCCCGUCGCUCCUACCGAUUGAAGUUUUCGGUGAGUUGACAGGAGGAUUUUUUUGAAACUGGUUCGCCAGUGGAUUUUAGAUCCAAAUGCCAACGAAUCGAUGGCUUUAGAGGAAGGAGAAGUCGUAACA